RNAcentral lists this ribosomal RNA (382 nucleotides) under uncultured eukaryote. RNAcentral's name for it is "partial 18S ribosomal RNA". It matches the Rfam family "Eukaryotic small subunit ribosomal RNA", at positions 592 to 976 of the family's 1831-position model. The record is from RNAcentral.
UGUAAGCGUAUACCAAAGUUGUUGCAGUUAAAACGCUCGUAGUCGGAACUUGGCCGUUCCGGAUGUGUGCACGUCGUGUGCGCGCUUUGCUGGGACGGCUUUUGUGGUCUUGCGUAGGAUGAGGCACUUUUAUUAGUGAACGUCCUCACGCAACCACUCUUUACUGUGAGAAAAUCAGAGUGCUCAAAGCAGGCAUUUGCCGUGAAUGUAUUAGCAUGGAAUAAUAGAAUAGGACUCGGUUCUAUUUUGUUGGUUUGUUGGGACUGAGUAAUGAUUAAGAGGGACAGUUGGGGGCAUUUGUAUUUCGGCGCUAGAGGUGAAAUUCUUAGAUUGCCGAAAGACAAACUGCUGCGAAAGCGUCUGCCAAGGAUGUUUUCAUUGA